UCCUUCAACAUGUAUCAACUAGGAAACAAUGGAUGCCAAUAUUCUGUUUACCGUAUAAUAUGUCUGGUAUACUAGAAUUUCAUUACAAUUCAACUCUGUGGUGAUCAUCUGCUGUCAAAUUGGAGUACUGUUUUGAUUCUAAAUGUGCUUUGUUUUAUUUUUCUUGAAUUUCAAAUACUUGGAAAAUGAUUGUCGGUGUUCAUGUUUUACACAUGUGCCUUGUUAUGAGUUAAGGAGUUGGUGCUUUAUCUGGGUUAAGUAAGAUGAGAAAUAUGUUUGUGCUGCCAAUAUGGUUUGUAAUUUAUAUCUAAGUGUAAUAUAGAGAAUAAGCAUUGGAUUUGGCACGUUGACUUCAAAGAAUAGGCACUGAUUUUUUCCUAAUUGUGCAAAUGUCACAGCUUAUUAGAAGUUGUAAGGCGGUGACAACUGCACCCUGUUUGAUUCCUCGACCUUCAACUUCAGUU
Molecule: long non-coding RNA, 464 nt
Filed under: Malus domestica (apple)
Lineage: Eukaryota; Viridiplantae; Streptophyta; Magnoliopsida; Rosales; Rosaceae
Description: long non-coding RNA (MDOM_LNC008453)
Source: RNAcentral